UGUAGAAGAAAUUCCAGAAGGAGAGCCUAUCCUAGCAGGUAUGUAUCUUGUUAACAAUUAUCCUGCUAUGGUUUUAUUUGAUUCCGGCGCAUUGCAUACCUUUAUAAGUAGAAAGUUUGUUACACAACAUCAACUAGAGGUUCAUACCUUAAAUGUCAAGUAUGCUAUUCAAGCUACGGGGGCCACACAGAAUACAAAUCAAGUAGCUCGCAAUGUGAUUUUAAACCUAGAAGGAAAUAAGGUGGGAGCUUAUCCUUUAAUUCUGGAAGAUCAAGGAAUAGAUCUUAUUUUGGGAGUAAAUUGGAUGAAAGAACAUGAAGUUCAAAUUAAUAUGGUUACUCGGGUCGUUAGCAUGAAAGAUGACCAAGGCCACUCUUUCGAGCUCCAAUUACCCGUUCAUCCUUGUUUGGACCAGAUGGUCAAAAAGACUAGAGCAGUGACUCUAGAAUCUAUUCCUGUAGUUAAUGAGUUUCUAGAUGUAUUUCCAGAAGAUUUGCCUGGGCUACCGCCUGAUAGAGCGGUAGAAUUCACUAUUGAGUUAGAACCAGGCACCGCUCCUAUUUCUAGAAGACCAUAUCGAAUGCCACCUAAAGAGCUAGCAGAAUUAAAAAUACAACUCCAAGAAUUGUUGGAUAAGGGUUUCGUCCGACCUAGUACUUCACCAUGGGGCUGCCCAGCUCUUUUUGUUAAAAAGAAAGAUGGCACAUUAAGGUUAUGUGUGGAUUACCGCCCUUUGAAUGCGGUAACCAUCAAUAAUAAGUAUCCGCUUCCACGGAUUGAUUUGUUGUUCGACCAGUUGUCUGGAGCUAAGGUCUUUUCAAAAAUUGACCUUCGGUCAGGGUACCACCAGAUUAACAUAAAACCCGAGGACAUACCAAAAACAGCCUUUUCAACCCGAUAUGGACUAUAUGAGUAUUUGGUUAUGUCUUUCGGACUGACAAAUGCCCCAGCGCAUUUUAUGUACCUCAUGAAUUCAGUAUUCAUGCCGGAGCUAGAUAAAUUUGUGGUCGUCUUUAUAGACGAUAUCCUUGUCUUUUCUAAAAAUGAGGAGGAACAUGCGCAACACUUGCGCAUUGUUCUAAAUAGACUCCGAGAACACCAGUUGUAUGCCAAGUUUAGUAAGUGUGAAUUCUGGUUAAAGAAAGUUCCAUUCCUUGGGCACAUACUGUCCAAAAAAGGAAUCGAAGUAGAUCCCGGAAAAGUCAAGGAUAUACUGGAUUGGAAGUCACCAACUUCUGUUCAUGAAGUAAGAAGUUUCUUGGGAAUGGCUGGCUAUUACUGUAGAUUCAUUCUCAAUUUCUCAAAGGUUUCCAAACCAAUCACAGAGUUAUUAAAGAAGGACAUAAAAUUUGAAUGGAAACCUGAGUGUGAGGAAUCAUUCCAAGUCUUGAAGAAAUUACUGACUACAGCCCCAGUGCUAGCUCAACCUGACAUAGAGAAACCUUUUGAUGUAUACUGCGAUGCCUCAGGAACAGGCAUCGGGUGUGUUCUGAUGCAAGAAGGCAGGGUUAUUGCUUAUGCUUCUCGUCAAUUGAAGCGUCAUGAAGAGCAUUACCCUACUCAUGAUUUAGAGCUUGCUGCCAUAGUGCAUGCACUAAAGAUAUGGCGACACUAUCUUUUGGGUAGUGAAUGUCGUAUCUUUACCGACCACAAAAGCUUGAAAUACAUCUUCACUCAGAUGGACUUGAAUAUGAGGCAAAGACGGUGGCUAGAACUGAUUAAAGACUAUAAACUAGAAAUUCAUUACCAUCCUGGUAAGGCUAAUGUGGUGGCUGAUGCCUUGAGCAGAAAGGCCCAAUGCCAUUGCACUACCGUCCAGUCUAACCUGAAGACCUUGUGUGAAGAAAUGGGAGAAUUACGUUUGGAAAUAGUAAAACAAGGCACACUUCAGAAUAUUAUGAUUCAAGAUACCCUAAAGGAAAGAAUCAUAACAGCCCAAAAAGAAGAUCCAUGGAUUAAGCUACUUUAUCAGCAAAACGCCGAGGGGAAGAUUCCCGAAUUUAAUCAAGAAGAAGAUGGAGGACUGUAUUUCAAGAACAGGAUAGUGGUUCCUAAAGAUGAGGACCUAAGGAAAUUAAUCUUAGAAGAAGCACAUCUAUCCAAGUUCUCCAUUCAUCCCGGAACAAAUAAAAUGUACCAAGAUUUAAAGCAAAGAUUUUGGUGGGCCAAAAUGAAACCUGAAAUUGCAAGAUAUGUAUCAGAAUGUGAUACUUGCCAAAGAGUUAAACCCAUAUUACAAAAGUCGGCAGGUUUGUUACAACCUUCAGAGAUCCCUGUCUGGAAAUGGGAAGAUAUUUCUAUGGAUUUCAUAGUAGGACUGCCUACUACUUCAAAAGGAUAUGAUUCCAUCUGGGUUAUUGUCGACCGCCUUACUAAGUCAGCUCACUUUAUUCCAGUCAAGACUACUUACUCUGUGUCAACAUAUGCCAAACUCUAUAUAGCCCGGAUUGUAUCCUUACACGGAGUGCCAAAGACCAUAAUCUCCGAUCGAGGUUCCCAGUUUGUUUCCAGAUUCUGGGAACGACUGCAAAAGGACAUGGGUACUACUCUCAUUAGAAGUUCUGCUUAUCAUCCUCAAACUGGAGGACAGACAGAAAGGGUCAAUCAAAUUUUAGAAGACAUGUUAAGAGCAUGUGUCCUUACCUUCUCUAAGCUAUGGGAUGAAUGUUUGCCCCUAGCCGAAUUCUCCUAUAAUAAUAGCUAUCAAGCUAGCAUUAAGAUGGCACCUUUCGAAGCCUUGUAUGGUCGAAGAUGCCGAACUCCUCUAAAUUGGUCAGGAGUAGGAGAAAGGACACAUCUGGGAUCGGACUUGGUUAUGGAAACCGAGGAGAAGGUCCAGAAGAUUCGCAAGCAUUUAGAAGUAGCCCAGUCCCGGCAAAAGAGUUAUUCGGACAAAAGAAGACGGUCCUUGGAAUUUUAUGCCGGAGAUUUUGUAUACUUAAAGGUAUCCCCAAUGAAAGGCGUACAGCGCUUUGGAGUCAAGGGUAAGUUAGCCCCGAGAUAUAUUGGUCCCUAUGAAAUUCUGGAACGAAAAGGUCCAGUGGCAUAUAAGCUGUCAUUGCCAGACCAACUUGCUUCUAUACAUGACGUAUUUCAUGUAUCCCAGCUUAAGAAGUGCUUAAGAGUUCCAGAAGAAAUUUUAGAAGAUCCAGAAAUUGAGCUCGAGCCAGACCUCACAUAUGAAGAGAGACCCAUUAAAAUUCUGGAUCAAAAGACACGAGAUACCCGAACCAGGAGUAUCACGUUUUAUAAAGUACAAUGGAAAAACCAUACUCCGGAUGAAGCUACUUGGGAAAAAGCUGAAGACCUAGAGUCUAACUAUCCGGAAUUAUUUGAAACCGUCAGGAACUAAGGAACAAAAGCCACCACCCCACUAUCCUUAUACAGAAAAAGAAAGAAUAAUUGACCUGACGCAGUUUCCUUUCCAUUCCAAAAACCAAGGAUUUAACCCCGGGAAUCUCGGGACGAGAUUCUGUUAAGGGGGAGAGGCUGUAAUAAUUGCCAUUUGAAGUAUUAAAGUAACUAUGAGAAAUCAGAAAGAAAUCCAAAAGAAAAAGAAAAGAAAUUGGCAAAAAGAUCAAAUUCGGUCAAAUUUAACCGAAAUUUGAAUUUCAAAUUUGAAAUUCAGAAAAAUUUGCCAAAAAUGUGGACUACAAAUGUAAGAAUGUUUAGAACUUAGGGAUCAAAAAAAAAAUUCAGGACUGAAAUUGGUGCUAAAUAGCUCAAAGGAAUUAAAGAAAGAAACAGAAACAGUGAAGUACUGUUCAUCGUCCGAAAAUAGGGUUCAGAGAAAACAGCUUCAGAGUCCAUUUUGGAAAUUGAUUUCUGGAAAAUUUUUCAAAUAAGUGCACUAGAACAGCUACACCAUAUUGAAGUAUGAAUCUUGGACUACAAUAUUCAUGUGUUGUUGGCCAGGAACAGUAAAGGGAAGGAAUUCAAACUUAAGCUCAAAGUCAGCACAAAAUCACAAGUUAACUGAAACUCUGAAUUUGACUAAGUCUGAAUAGCAGCAAGGCAUCAACUUGGAGCUCGAAUUCAGAGCAAUGUAGCUAAAAGAGGGUACUUGUUCAUGAGCAAAAUGGAACAUUGGGACAUUGUAGAAUAUAUUUGAGAAGAAAUUGGACUGUGGGGAGAAGGAUUGGACCACUAAAUCAAAUCACCAAGUGAGAUCAGUGACACUGUCGGUGACUGACGAAACUGAAUGACAGUUUCAGUUGAAGUUCACAAGAAACCGAGAAACAAAUCCAAAUUCAAUCCUAUUUGAUGUUUAUCUCGAGCCGAAGCCAAAAUAAAAGUUGAAGAGCUCGAGUUUAUCUGCCACUUUGGUUAAAGCAUCUGAGCACCGUUGGAUUGAGAAUUAGCCGCGGAGAAGCUCUGAAGAUCACGGGCGGUGACAGAGCGCCCGACGUGUCGCCGCCGCCGUCGUCGGUCGACCGCCAGGGCAACUAGCUAGGCCACCUCCUCACCACGCAAGCCUACGGGUAGGCCACGGUGUCGUCCAUGCGCGGGGUUAAACGCUUGAAUAGUUACUGCUCCCGCGCCGCCGUUUCACCGUCCCCCUUUUUACCGCUGCCCGCUCUUCUCUGUCAAAGCACCGUCGCCGAGCAAAAUUCCACCACCUCCCCGCAGCUCCCGUCGAUUCCUCUCGCCCACUCCUCCACAGACACCCUAGCUACACCCCAAGCCAGUCGUUGUCCCACAUCCAUGCCGGAGUAGCUGUGCUCGCCGCCGCUUUUGUCCGCCGCCGUCACGCCGCCCGCUCACGGUGAGAACCAUCUUGCGCUGCUUCUCUUCUGCCUUGAGUAGUUGUAGUCGAGUCCUUGGGGUCCUAGGGUGGUGUAGGGGUAGAUGUUUGAGUCAGUUGUGUCGAUGUCGUAAGAAGCUAUGGCCGGCCGAGGGAGUCGUCGCCUGUCGCCGUGGAGGGGAUGGCUCCGGCCAUCUCCCGGGGAGCUGUUGCCGCGCACGGGGUCGUGUAGGUAUAGGAGUGGUGUUGUGACCUAGUCCCGCCGCCGGGAGGGCGCCGGCCGGCGAGCCGCGCUGCCCCCUGUCACGGGUGUGUUUUGGCGGGAGGUAGGAGAAGGCGCUGGGUACUCGGGCCCGCGCGUCAGUGGAAGAAGAAGAGGGGGGGAAGGCGUAGCAGCAGGCAGGCCGGGCGCGCGGUCGGUGGUGGGCCGAUGCGUCGCGAGGGCCCAGUAACGCGCGCGGUUCGGCCGGCAAAAGAAAAGGGCCGGCGUGUCGUUAAGGCCCAGUGGAAGCCGGCCGGUGUCGCGGAGAAAAAGAAGAAAAAGAAAGUAGGCCAUUGGGCCGGAGCUGGGCCGCAGAAAAAGAAAGAAAAAGAAAAAUCGGCCCGCAGAGCCCGUCGGGAGGAAAGGAUAAGGCCGGCGGGUAGAAGGAAUAGGAAGAGUGGGGUCCGCGCCGUGGGGCCCAGUAUUCGUGAGAGAGGGUAGAGAAGGGUCGAGUAAGAAAAGUUUUCCGGGUGAUUUUCGGGAAAAAUUAGAUUUCCUUUAGCGAAGUAAUUCGUUUAAAUCCGUUUUACACCAUUUUAAUCACAGAAAUUUGUAGAAGUAUCCAAAAUUAGUGAAACCAAUUUUGUUAGGCUUGUUUUAUUUUCCUUUAUGCAUUAAAAGUUUUACACCCUAGGAAAAUAAUAAAAAUUUGGGUAUUUAUUUAAUGCCUUCCUUUUAAGGUAAUUAAAUAAAUACUUAAUAUUUAUAAAAUGUAUAAAAUAUGAAUAAUACUUUAUCAAUCACAAAUAAUUCUUAACCCAUAGAAAAUUAGAUUUUCAAGUUAGGAAAUAACUACCACUUUUUCUAAAGAUAAAAGAAAAAGCUAUAAGGAGGGUUAAGUAAGAAAAAUAAAAAUAUAGGUUAAUCUUUUUAGAUUUUUGUGUGUUGGCUUGCAACUUUAUCAUGAUAAGUCGUAUAGUCCUUGUUGGCUUGCAACUUUAUCAUGAAGAAAAGUUGUAUAGUCUGUAUUCAAAAAUUUUGCAUUCUAACCCCCUGCAUGUAUAUAUGCCGUAGAUCCCGAAGCACCAGAAGAAGAGUAUUGGGAAUUCUCAGAAGGACCUUCGGAAUCUGAAGAAGUGUUUGAGUUUGUUCCCUGUGAAGCAAAUCCGUCAGCUUCUACUAAUCUUUUUAACGAACAAGGCAAGCCCCGGUGCAUUUACACCUAUCUAUUUUGGAGUCGUUAUUUCAUGUGACUAGUUGUAGGUUAAUUGCUAUAUGUAUGCACUAAGUCUAGGAGUUGAUUGAAACCUAUUCUUGUGUUUGAUCAUGCCUUGAUUUAAGGACAUCUUUGCCACUUGUUCGAACCUUAGAAACUACCCAAGUCUAGAAUUGCUUACUUGCUUACGUGUUUGGUUUACCAACCUUAAGGAAAACUCUUAAGUCAUACAUGUUGCUUAUGAAAGAUAGCUUGGAUUUUGAAAGUGGAAAGAAGCUAGAGAUGUAGUUCUGUCUGCCAGAUUAAUUUGGUUAAGGCCCGAUUCAUGUCUUAACUGUUGAUCAAGUGAUAAGCCUCUGAUCGCUUACUGGGUAUGGGACCAGUAAAGCCCAGUAGAUUAGUAAAUCCUAUGAUCAGGAAUGCUUCGUACCCGCGCUUGACGUGCUGGAGAAUUGGCAGGGGUGUAGCCUGAAACUCACAUGGAGAUCAGGCCAGACGUGGGGUCCCAUGUGGGGGUGCAUCCCUAGGUCCGGGUAGUCGUAUUCCUAAUCAUUGACUUUGCUAAUCGAGAGGUUGUUAGUACGACCUGGACAGUCGUAUAAUGCUGGUGAUCAGGGUACUCUCCUGCAGGAUGUAAUUAGAUCCGGAUCGCCGCAAUUCUCGGUUAUGAAUGCACUUGAUCGCUGUUGAGCAUCGUAGUAUUAAUUCAUGUAAUAUAAAAUCUCCUGUUGUCAAGUAUUGUAUGAUUUAACAGCUAUGGUUGCUUUUACUUCUGUUAUCACUUAGAAUGGUUAGGUAAUAGCUUAACCUAAAUAAAAGACAAAACUAAGGCUUUACUCGUAGUAAGCUUUUCGGCAAAAUUUGUGUCAACCAAGCACACCCAAAGGCUGACAUGCAUUCCAAAGAAAAACUAUUAUAUUGGUUAGUCGGGUAAGACUUGCUGAGUACCCCGUACUCAGGGUUUUCCCCUUGUGGUUAUCUUUCAGAAGCUCCACAGGAGGCUGCAGAGGAGGAGACCCCGAAG
RNAcentral lists this long non-coding RNA (7186 nucleotides) under Setaria italica (foxtail millet). Its description in RNAcentral is "long non-coding RNA (SITA_LNC006008)". Lineage: Eukaryota; Viridiplantae; Streptophyta; Magnoliopsida; Poales; Poaceae. The record is from RNAcentral.